GCCCCCCUCCCGCGCUGAGAGGUCGAGGUCGGGGUCGGGGUCGUCCCUCCGCGUCCCCGGCCCCGCGCGCACCGGGCCCUGCGGGUCGCGCCCGGAGACCUCCCUGCCUGUCCCCUCGCCCGCGGAUCCCGUAGCGCGGGUUUCCAUCGUUUGGGCGUUUUGGUUCUCUGAGAACGUCAGAAACAUUAAUUGGAUGUCCUAGGAAUGGUGGAGACAGACGGAAGAGAACAUUAAAGGAGUCCUCCAAAGGAGGUGCCAUCCCUCUGUGAAAAAUUCUGGCGGAGAGUCACAGAGGUCUUUGAGCUGCAGAGGAACUGAGCAGGAUGGCCCUGUCUGCGGAGGCGUCUGCUUGCGUGGGGCACGAUUUCCACAUCUCCUUCAGCCCGGCCCACCUGGUCAGCACGCGAUGCAGCGACGCUCUUCAGGAACGAACCUCUCUCCUCACCAGCGGGCGUCAGUUUCUGUGCCCACCCCAGGUACCCCGAGGUGUUGCCAGAACAUUUGCUUUUCAUCUUGUAUGCUAUCAGAAAUGUGCUGCCAGUGCAGUGUGGUUUCUGCCAGUGUUAUUAGGGGUUGUGUGGUUCAAUUCCACUUCACCUUCCAGAAAGAUAUCCUCACAGUAAGUCAUCCCUGAGAAGCAGAGCGCUGGGUGUGCCCUUGGCAUCAUCGAGCAUGGUCGUGACGCUGCAGUUUGCUCCUGUUCUUGUUGGGGUUUGUGUUUUACUGCAAAUGCUCUAGAUUGAAAUAAUACGGAUCUGGAGGUUUUGAAAAAUCAAGAGAAAAUCAAGAGCUUUUACUUAGUUAUAUUUCUGAUUUUCAAGUUUGUGGAUCAGUGCAUAAAUGUUAACUUCACGUCUGUGUACGUCUUGGUCAUUAACCUUUUAGGUUUUGUACAACAAUGACUGUGUUUGCUAAUAGGAAAUGCUGGAAAUGGAACUUCUGGUCUUUGCUGUUUCACACACAUGCUGGUUUGCCCCACCAGCAUUGGUGAGAGAUUUGCUUUGGCCUCCAACUUGUGGCCAGUCUGCAAGAUCCUUUCUAGCUCUUAACCUUUAAACUUGGCAAUUCUCAGCAUCGUAUACUUCUAUAAACACUUUAUAAGCAUUGCCACUUAACUUUGCUUUUUAAUGCCAA
Non-coding RNA from Microcebus murinus (gray mouse lemur), 1134 nucleotides. The record is from RefSeq and is a predicted model, not a curated record. NCBI's taxonomy places the organism in Eukaryota, Metazoa, Chordata, Mammalia, Primates, Cheirogaleidae.